This 112-nucleotide ribosomal RNA is filed under the name Caerostris extrusa. The record is from RNAcentral. Lineage: Eukaryota; Metazoa; Arthropoda; Arachnida; Araneae; Araneidae.
AACGGCCAUACCAUGCUGAAUAUACCGGUUCUCGUUAGAUCACCGAAGUCAAGCAUCAUUGGGCGUUGUCAGUACUUGGGUGGGUGACCACCUGGGAACACCGCGUGCCGUU